Varroa destructor (honeybee mite) is the source of this 548-nucleotide long non-coding RNA. RefSeq lists it as uncharacterized. Lineage: Eukaryota; Metazoa; Arthropoda; Arachnida; Mesostigmata; Varroidae. The record is from RefSeq and is a predicted model, not a curated record.
UGUCAGGGUCGCGAGUUACCGAAGCAUACAAGGACAGGGCGGUGGAUGACAGACGUCGGGUUGAAUUUAGAAUAGUGGUCUUAUAUCGUAAGGAGUCGGACAGAUUGAGAACACGUUCGGGUUGGGCGGCAUCACGGAAGUUUGUUUUCUUCUAAGACCGGUUCAGACAUUAGCCUAUGGGACAACCUGGAGAACAUAAACGCCGACGGCUUGAGUAGCAUCCAUAGAACGGCUGCAUAACUGCUGCUUUACUUGCCGAUGGAAUAGAUUUUGGUUAACGAUUAAGGCAUUAUCGUAUGGCGGGAAUUUUCAAUUGAACGUCCGUCAGUGUUAGCCACAACAUGGAUACUGAAAGAACGCGAUUCGAAGGCUGAUUAAAUUGUUGCCAACCUGUUAAGGUAACAAUGCCUAGACUACUCGUCGUAGUGAGUCAACAGCUCCUAUAUGGAAAGUGGAGUCGGAGUCAACAAGAGAUUGCUGUUGAAAAGUUUAGUAUUUAUGCCGUCCACUUAAGAACAUUGUCAUAUUUAAGAUUGUGAUCUAGUGGA